Long non-coding RNA from Schistocerca piceifrons (Central American locust), 2238 nucleotides. RefSeq lists it as uncharacterized. The transcript is spliced from 4 exons. The record is from RefSeq and is a predicted model, not a curated record. Lineage: Eukaryota; Metazoa; Arthropoda; Insecta; Orthoptera; Acrididae.
AGUUUUCUCACGUCUUCGACGUCUGAUAUCUUUAGAAAGUACCGCGCGUGUUGUGUUCACUUUGUGGUGCUGCUCAUUGUCGCGUGUUUCUGGGUCUUCAGCCGUGAGCUGUUUAUAUUCUUCAUAAUUUUCCUCCAACUUGAGUGACUUGAAUUUCUAAUCUCAGUCAUAUUGCCUUCCUAGUGGUGUGAGCUAGCGGUUAUGUAUCUGGGACAGACUCUAGGUUCUGUAAUAUUCAUGUAAUGUGUCUUGACAUUCGCUAUCCGUUAUAGACUCCUGAAAUCAUCUUCGAAAAUGCAUCAACAAAUUUAUUAUGCUAAUAGUGUCAUUAGGAAUUAGAUCUCGAUGCGAAGUCAUUGUUCCUUUUGAUACCUCCGCUGGGGCAUCCUGUUACUUGAAAUGGCAAACAGAAAAUAUGGGCAUCGAUUCCGGGCAACCAGUAGAACUUUAUUUUGGCAGAGACACGCAGUGGAAGAUAAUAUAUUACUAGCAAACAAAUUCAGUCGUCUGUUUGUAAAAAUGGAUUGUUGUGACCUAUACGUCUUGACAGACUCUUCGCGUUUGCUGCCGGAUCCUGAAAUCAAACAGUUUGUCAACAAGUGGCCACGAAAGCCUUAACAAUUUCUAUUUUCAAUAUUUCGGCGAUCCAACUGUUCUCCAUCUUCAGGAGAACGCUGCUUCUGUUGCUGAGUCCCGUUGAGCACUGUUCUGUCUCAGCAGCGUUCUCCUGAAGAUGGCGAACAGUUGGAUCGCCAAAAUAUUGAAUAGAUUUCAGGAUCCGGCAGCAAACCUGAAGAAACUUUCAAGGCUUAUUACGCCGGGAAAGACUACUAAUUUCGCAGGGAAAGUACUAUAACCAGGGAACUACGCUUUUGUUGAGGAGGCUCUUAGAUAAAAUCGCAGAAUCCUGAAAGUGGUGUUUUCAUUCCGAAAUACACAUAGGUCUGACAAACCAAUAUUACGAACGUUUGACGAUUGUUGCUGAUAACUUAAAAGAACAUAUGAUUUUUGGUGCCAUACCUGUUCACGUGUUAGGAACGACAUCGCCCGUAAAAAUUUGAAAAGGCUGCGCAAACUAUCUCUUACAAGAGCAGAAUCCAGCUGCGUGGUUCGACAUCUUAUAGCGGUCUGUUCCACAGUUUAACAGCUGUGCAGCUGUGGCGUCUCCCAUCUGUUUCCUAGGGUUUGUUUAUGUUACUAUGAGUGAUGGUAAGAUGCUGCAUCUCAGGACGAAAUAUGUAUAUUUUAGGCCAAACAUCACAGCUAUCAACAUUUCAGGUUAUGAUUAGAGCUUCGCCACCAGUGACGAUAUCAUUAUAUGGUGGAAGGUGUACCAGCGUCGAUUUUGGAUGUUGUACGCCAAUAAUAAUUGCGAUUUGAACAGUUUCUGAUGUUAAUGAUGAAAGAGACUUAAAAAGUGGGAGACGAGCGAACUCUAAAAUGAAUGAAGCAUGCAUGAGUCACAAAACUGAUCGCCACCAGCUUACAGAUUUUCCAGAAACAGUUUUAUAUACUCAACUAAGUGUGGUAUGGAAUAAAACACUGGAUUUGGAAGUAGUACUACGAGAACAUGAACGGGGCUAUCCAAGAAGAAAUUGACCCAUUUCUUAUUUUUGUCAAUUAGCAAAUUUAAGUGCGUGAACUACCUGAUGUGGCACUAGCUGAAAUGUUGGACCAAGACACAGGUGUUCGAGAUUCUGUUGUCCGCAGCACCACAGCAGCAGCAUCCCACAGUCGACAUAACCGAUUUGUCGGAUCUGCUUUUCAAAUACCCUGUGCCACAGUCGGCGUCUGCAUCUCAGGAGCAGUAGCUGUUGGAUUUUACUCAACCUGCAGUUAAGUGGUUGCAGAAUACUGUUCUUUGCCAAUACUUACAACGCGACUUCCAGAGGAUCGAAAAGGCCUAGCACUGGACGGCGAUUUAGAUGUAAUAAUUGAAAUUGAGAAUGUUCAGCGCUUGGUGCUAAAGUGCAGUAUGCAUGGUAUAAGUGGGACUAUCUGUGUAGCAUAUUGGAAUACAUUAAAAAGAAAAUGACUACCGACUAUGACCUAUCACAUAUUCCUAAUGAUGUCGGUAAGUUUGGCAGGAAAGCGUCCAUUGUCUAUGUAUGGACAAGCAAAGAUGGAAUUAACUUAUGGACACUCAUGCAUUUACAUUAAACAUUCGAGUGUUGUGAACUUAAUGUGGUACAGAGCGAUUUCAAGGCAUACAGAAAACAAUUGUUUGCGAAAUAUUGC